AAAGCUAAGCCGCGAGGUGGAGCAAAACCCAAAAAAAGACAGUCUCAGUUCGGAUUGAAGGCUGAAAUUCGCCUUCAUGAAGCCGGAAUUGCUAGUAAUGGCAGGUCAGCAUACUGCCGUGAAUACGUUCCCGGGCCUUGUACACACCGCCCGUCACACCAUGAGAGUUGGGGAUACCCGAAGCCUGUGAGCUAACUUUUAGAGGCAGCAGUCGAAGGUAGAAUCAAUGAUUGGGGUGAAGUCGUAACAAGGUAUC
Molecule: ribosomal RNA, 256 nt
Filed under: uncultured bacterium
Lineage: Bacteria
Description: partial 16S ribosomal RNA
Rfam family: Bacterial small subunit ribosomal RNA
Source: RNAcentral